CAGCAGCCGCGGUAAUACGUAGGCGGCAAGCGUUGUCCGGAAUUAUUGGGCGUAAAGGGCUCGCAGGCGGUUUCUUAAGUCUGAUGUGAAAGCCCCCGGCUCAACCGGGGAGGGUCAUUGGAAACUGGGAAACUUGAGUGCAGAAGAGGAGAGUGGAAUUCCACGUGUAGCGGUGAAAUGCGUAGAGAUGUGGAGGAAAACCAGUGGCGAAGGCGACUCUCUGGUCUGUAACUGACGCUGAGGAGCGAAAGCGUGGGGAGCGAACAGGAUUAGAUACCCGCGUAGUCCCUGUCUCUUAUAC
RNAcentral lists this ribosomal RNA (301 nucleotides) under uncultured bacterium. RNAcentral's name for it is "partial 16S ribosomal RNA". It matches the Rfam family "Bacterial small subunit ribosomal RNA", at positions 509 to 807 of the family's 1533-position model. The record is from RNAcentral.